This 637-nucleotide ribosomal RNA is filed under the name uncultured bacterium. RNAcentral describes it as "bacterial SSU rRNA". It matches the Rfam family "Bacterial small subunit ribosomal RNA", at positions 61 to 744 of the family's 1533-position model. The record is from RNAcentral.
GUCGAACGCUUCAGAAAUGAAGAGUGGCAGACGGGUGAGUAACGCGUGGGAACCUUCCCAGUGGUACGGAAUAGCCCAGGGAAACUUGGGGUAAUACCGUAUAAGCCCUUCGGGGGAAAGAUUUAUCGCCAUUGGAUGGGCCCGCGUCGGAUUAGCUUGUUGGUGAGGUAAAAGCUCACCAAGGCGACGAUCCGUAGCUGGUCUGAGAGGAUGAUCAGCCACACUGGGACUGAGACACGGCCCAGACUCCUACGGGAGGCAGCAGUGGGGAAUAUUGGACAAUGGGCGCAAGCCUGAUCCAGCCAUGCCGCGUGAGUGACGAAGGCCUUAGGGUUGUAAAGCUCUUUUGGCGGGGACGAUAAUGACGGUACCCGCAGAAUAAGCUCCGGCUAACUUCGUGCCAGCAGCCGCGGUAAUACGAAGGGAGCUAGCGUUGUUCGGAAUCACUGGGCGUAAAGCGCACGUAGGCGGAUUUGUUAGUCAGGGGUGAAAUCCCGGGGCUCAACCUCGGAACUGCCUUUGAUACUGCAAGUCUGGAGUCCGGAAGAGGUGGGUGGAAUUCCUAGUGUAGAGGUGAAAUUCGUAGAUAUUAGGAAGAACACCGGUGGCGAAGGCGGCCCACUGGUCCGGUACUGAC